AUGAGGAGACAUCAGCAUGUCACUUUCCUUGACACCCAACUACUGCCCCCAGAAGAGAUUCUUUCCAGGCUAAGAAAGACCCCACUGCCUAUCCAGCAGUGGGGCUCAGUAAGCCAUGAAGUGAUUUACAAACAUUGGCUACCAUGGUCUAUUACAGGUAGAAGCAACAGUGAAAAUCACGACGGUGAGAUCAAGCAAAGCAGAUGGACUGAAGGACAAGGACGACUCUGCCCAGCAGAGGGAGGGAAAGCCCGGGCUGGACUCCACGUGGCCGGAGCUCCCAGCUUAAACACACAUAGUAGAUAGAAGUCUACUACUUGCCAGGUCUUGGUCAAGGUGGCUAUUCCUGGGUAUGGGCAGCUUUCCUCCACCGAGUGACUCAAGGAUUGAAGUUCUCCCAGC
This 402-nucleotide long non-coding RNA is filed under the name Macaca mulatta (Rhesus monkey). Its description in RNAcentral is "lncRNA (ENSMMUG00000058212.1)". The record is from RNAcentral. Lineage: Eukaryota; Metazoa; Chordata; Mammalia; Primates; Cercopithecidae.